This 8935-nucleotide long non-coding RNA is filed under the name Capsicum annuum. Its description in RNAcentral is "long non-coding RNA (CANN_LNC003850)". Lineage: Eukaryota; Viridiplantae; Streptophyta; Magnoliopsida; Solanales; Solanaceae. The record is from RNAcentral.
UUUCCCUCGCGUGGUCUCCGCGCGCGGGUUACUGUACAUUAGUAAGAACUGAGAAUCAGUCAGCUACAUUCAGUCGUUGCAUGGCUAUGAAUAAAUUUCAAAUAUUUGGCUUCGCGAUUGCGAUAAAUUAAUCUUACGGUGAGUUUUUUUUUCCUGCUUAUAUGUAAUUCAAUGAAUUGGGAGGAUACAUUUCUACAUUGGAAAUCACUAAACAUAUUCCAGUUUUGAAAUUCAAUUGAAUCUUACACUUAAUUUUCCUAGUUGACAGUUUUAGUUUGUAUGCAUUCCAUUGGAAAUCAUUGUUAGGGAUCAUGUUCAUCAGUUCAUGUGCUGUGUACAACGAUGUAGGAGUUUAUUGAGAUCACUCUCGUGUUUUAGCUGGAUUUUUGUUUAAGUUCUGAUAUGUACAAUAAUGAUCUGCUACAGAAGUAUUUAGAGUUAAAUGGUCACAAAUACACCUAAAUUAUCCCUUUUUUCGAUUUUCAUAUUUGAACUAUCCGAGUUUCCUACAUUAACUAUCACCUACUAUUUAUCAAAACACACCUCAAAUAUCAAUUAUUCACUUUUCCUACCUAAAAUAUCAUUUAUUUAGGAAAAAUGAACUAUUGAUAGUUGAUGUGCAUUUUGAUAAGUAGUUGGUGAUAGGACAGUUAAUAGGAAAUAGUGGAGUAAUCGGUAAAGUUGCUGCCAUGUGACCAGAAGGUCACGGGUUCAAGCCUUGGAAACAGCCUCUGGCAUAAAUGCAAGGUAAGGCUGCGUACAAUACACCCUUGUGGUGGGGCCCUUCCCCGGACACCGCACAUAGCGGUAGCUUUAGUGCACCGGGUUGCCCUUUUGAAGGGGAGCCUUGGAGUAACUGGUAAAGUUGCUGCCGUGUGACCAGGAGGUCACUAGUUUAAGCCUUGGAAACAGCCUCUUGCAGAAAUGCAAGGUAAGGGGGCGUACAAUACACCCUUGUGGUGGGGCCCUUCCCCGGACACCGCACAUAGCGGUAGCUUUAGUGCACCGGGCUGCCCUUUUAUAUACCUAGUUCAAGUAUGAAACUCAACAAAUAAGUAUACUUUAGGAGUAUUUUUGAUCCUUCACUCUAAUAUUUAAUUAUUCAUGCAAUAUAAAACCUUGCUGACAUCAUUAGAAACCAUAUGCAAGCUCUGAACUUCAUUGUUUCUAGUAGAAAGUGCACGUGGAUAGAGCAGAAUGGUUACAAUGAAUCCAUGCGUACUGUGACUAAUUUGGGAUUGAGGCUGCAGAGGUGGAUCUAAAAUUUAAAGUUGAUUGGUUCGACCUUCAAGAUUUUUAAUAAUGAACUCAUUCUGCUAUUGAAAUUACUGAUUCAGAUUUAAUAUUCGUUUAAAAUUUAGUGUUUUUUCACGUGUUAGAAACACUGGGUUUGGUUAAAAAGAUACUGCAUCUUUUGACAGAAAUAUUGCGUAAGGUUGAACCGGCAGGCCACUAUUGACGCAUAGUUCAUUGUAUAGUGGAAACAAAACAUUGUCUUUUAAAUUAGUAGUUAGUAGUUACUUUGAGGAAAUUAAUAAUUAAAACAUCUAGUAUAUCUCUUGCUAAUGAUAGUGCCUACUUGGAAGUUGUCUUGCUAGGAGAAACUAUUUCCAAGUCUUCCUUCUCAAAGUUAGCAGUCGAUCAUGGAAAAUAGAUAUUCUUUCGGUAGGGACAUACUAAUAUUACUAAAGGGGUCCUUAGUAUGUGAUGGACCUGGUUCGGUUGAGUGUUUGGGUUUUGAUGCUAUGGAGUUGUCGCUGAGAAGUUGCUUCUAUGUAUCCACUAAUUAUAGAAUUCCUAAUACAAUAAGAUUACACAUUCUGGACAAACUCUUCCAAUUUAUGAAAAACUUGAAUAGCUAAAAACUUUUCACUUUGUUUUUCUUGAGUACUUUACAACUUUGUAUAACGUGCUGUCUUGGUCGUUUUAUCCUCCUUACUUUGGUGAUGAUGGCUUGGUCUUAGAGGACUUACCAGUGAUAGCUUUCGUCACCUUUGCAAUUGAGUGCUUGACUUUUGAUCCAACGCCUGACAAUAUGUUCUGAUGUUUCUUGUGUUGAACUUUAAUAUCAGCAUCUCGUGAGAUUUCUACAAUCACUGUAUCUUCAGAACUUGACCGUUCUCUUGUCUGUUGAAUUCCUUCCUCUUCUCUAUCAUUGUCUUCUCUUUCUUCAGCAAAGUUUUCCUCCAUUUUUGAUGUCUCUUUAACUGGUACAUGCAUAAGGUCAGAAACCUUAGCUUGCGUCUCUCUUGAUCUCGAUUCCUCUGGUGCUUCUUUUGAAUUACAUUCCAAUUCUUUCUCGUUUUUGUAAUUUUCUUGACUUUUGGCCUCUGCACCCAGUUGCACAUAUGGGGUAAUGCUGUCUUUGGGCGUACCAUUGACGCCAGUGCUGCUUGUUGGAACAGUUUCCUCCCUCUCUAAUGUAAGUAGAGGAUAUGCUGCUUGAUCUUGUAGCUGCUUAGUUGCAUUGCUUUCACUGCUCACCAUGUUAUCCAUUGCUAUCUCCUUUUCCGGAACCUUAACAGAUGUCAAUGAUGUCAAAUGUUCUGUUAUUUCUUCUUGCUCAUUCCUUGUUUUUUCCUCUUGUUCACCUCCUACUUGGGUAAUUGGAGCAUUUUCAGUCUUUAAUUCUUCUUUCUGUGUUUCUUUUGUUUCAUCGCAUGUUAUCAUCUCUCCGAAACCUGCUGCUGUUUUUCUUUCUGAUCCAAAAGGUUCCAAACUUCCUCUUUCAGGUUCACUUGUUGUUGUUCCCUGCUCUUGCUGUACCUGUGUUGUGCUGUUGUUUGAGGAAUCUUGGCCGGUGCUCUCUCUUAAGUCUUCUUCUUGUUCCUCCUAUGAGUUCAUAUCUUACCGUCAGAAAUCUUGAUUGAAUUGUUGCGCGAGUAAAUAGGGGAGACAGAGGGGUGUAUGAAAAGAUUGGAAUAAUGUAUUUUGCUUCUAUUUUUUUAGCUUUUUUCCUCACUGUUUAUAGUCUAGAUCCAGUUUUAUAAUUCAGAAUUAUGAUUUCUUGUAGCAGAUUGCAAAUCGGCAUUUAUGUUAUACUCUGCCUGUGUAUAUGAAAUGUUUCAUGCAGUUGACCAUGCAUAAUGUUUUCACGGCAACAUCUUUUCAAUCCCCUCUUUGCACGAGAAUACAAAAACUGAAAAUAAUAUAUAGUCAUCUAGAGAUUUGUGACCUUAACUAACUUGGAGUUGUGGCUUAGAUGUUGUCAUCGUUGUUGUUCUGAAAUAUUGUGCAGCAGGAGAACCAAAUUUCUAGGUUCAUAAACAUGCAAUAAACUCAUAGAUUCUCAGUAGAUGCUAAUCAGCUAACGUUGUAAGUUCUUGUUCAUUUACCUUGUUAGUAUUGUCCUCCACCCUCAUUUCUUCUGAAGAAAGUUCAAUUGCGUUCUCCACUCCACGCACGUCUUUAACCUCUUCUGUGGUUAGGUUGGCUUUUUGAAGGUUCUGCAGAAUAAAAAAAGAGCGAUACAGUGAUUUAGAAGAAAGAGAAAGCAUUUCUAUUUUAGCUUGGGGUUAGAUAUAUGAAUUGGAAACAGCCUUGUGUGGUCGCUUAACCUCUUGAUUGGGGGUUUCUGAAACCACUUUGCAUUCUUUAGAGUUAUUUGUCACCAUCUCUUCUUUGGCGGAUGUUAGAAGCUCGUCUAAGCUCCUUUCUUCUUUUUGUAGGACAUUCUUAUUUGUCCCAUCAUCAGCAUUGAUAUCUUUAAGUUCUUUUAUCUGUUUGGAUUGAUAGGUUUUGUUAUGACUAGUUUAGGCACAUGAAAGAAUAUCAAAAUAUUGGUAGAAGGAAGCCACUUAAUACCUCAAUUUCAACUUCUUUGCAAGGUCUCAUUGUUUCUUUGACUAACAGUUCUGCCUGUUUUCCAAUUAAAGCUUCUUCUUUCUCUGUUAAUUGUGUUUCAGAUUCAUCAAUUCUUUCAAUGACAGCUUCUUCCCUGUUUUGUUCUUUGAGUUCUUCUCCAAGUGGGUGUUCUUUAGGUUUCUCGUCAAUCAUUGGUUCUUCAAGUUUCUCUUUAACAACUAGUUCUUCAGAUUUCUCUUCAACUGGUAGAUUCUCGGGUUCUUCUUCAACUGCUGGUUCUUCAAAUUUUUCAGCUGCCGAUUCGUCAGGCUUUUCUUCAACUGAUGGUUCUUCAUGUUUUUCAUCGAAUGUUGGUUCUUCAACUGUAGAUUCUUCAGAUUUCUCCUCAACUGUUGGUUCCUCAGGUUUUUGGUCAACUACUGGUUCUUGAGGUUUAUCUUCAAUUGCUGGUUCUUCAGGUUUCUUUUCUAGUUCUUCACGUGUCUCUUUAACCACUGGAUCUUCAGGUGUUUCUUUCACCUCUUGUUUUUUGUGUUUCUCCUCAAUUGCUGGUUCUUGGGGUUUCUCUUCAAAUGUUUCUGCAAUUGCCAAUUUCUGAGGUUUCUCCUUUAUUGCUGGUUCUUCAGGUUUAUCCUCAACAAUUGGUUCUUCAAGCUUUUCCUCAACCAUUGGUUCUUCAAUUUUUUCCUCAACCAUUGGUUCUUCAGGUUUUUCCUCAACUCCUGGUUCUUCAGGUUUUUUCUCAACUGCUGGAUAGUCAACAACAUCAUUGUUGGUAUUGCAUGGAGUCUGAGUGUCAGACUUCCCGUUUGAAUCUAUAACUGACAUAUUCUGUAAGAAAAAUUUGAAGUUUCACUUAGUCUUCCAAUAGAUAAACAGAUGUGAAUUGUUGCACAUUCAGAGCUAAUAGUACAGGUAAAACUUGUGAGUACUUGAUCCUCACCUCUUCCAACAAAGUUACCUUUUCAGGCUUCGCUUCAACUUCAACUGCUAGUUUUUCAAGGUUCUUUUCAAUUGCUAGAUCUUUAGUUGUUUCUUCAACUGCUGGUUCUUCAGGUUUCUCUUCAAAUGUUAGUUCUUCAAGUGUUUCUUUCCAUGCUGGUCCUGCAAGUGUUUUUUCAACUACAAGCUCUUCAGAUUUCUCUUCAACUGUUGGUUCUUCAAGUUUCUCCUUGAAAACUGGUUCUUCAGUUUGUUUUUCCACUUCUGGUUCUUCAAGUUUCUCUUCAAUCACUUGUUUUUCAUGUUUUUCUUCAACUUCCAGUUCUUCAGCUGUUGGACAGUCAGCAACACCAUUGUUGGAAUUGCCUGGAAUUUCACUGUCAAUCUUGUCCUUUGAGUCUAUAAUUGACAUAUUCUGCAAGAAAAGUUUAAAAUUAGAUUUAAUAUUCAAUAGAUUGACAUAUGUGAGUGUGUUACACAUAUAAAGCUAUUAGAAUGGAUAAACUGUGACACUGUUUAAUCCUCACCUUCUCUAGGAGAGCUUCCGUUUCUAGUUUCUGCUCUUCAAUUACUGGGUUGUCGUGUUUCUCUUUAACAACUAGCUCUUCAAAGGUCUUUUCAACCAUUGGUUCUUCAGGUUUCUCUUCAAGUGCUAGCUCUCCAAGUGUUUCCUCCCCUGCUAGCUCUUCAUGUGUUUCUUUAGCUGUUGGUUCUUCAAGUUUUUCUUCAACAGUUGGUUCUUGAGGUUUCUCCUCAGCUGGUUUUUCAUAUUUCUCCUUAAUUGCUAGUGUAUCAAGUUUCUCUUCAAUAACUGGUCCUUCAGGUUUUUCUACAACUGCUGGUUCUUCAGGGUCUUUCUCAACUUCUUGAAAGUGAGCAUCAUCAUCGUUAGUAUUGCAUGGAAUUUCACAGUCAGUUUUGUCCUUUGAGUCCGCAACUAGCAAAUUCUGCAAGAAGAAUUAAAAGUUUCACUUAGUCUUUUAGUAGAUAAAGCAGAUGUGAAUCAUUGCACAUACAUAAAUAAUAGGAUGGAUAAACUUAUGACAGUGCUUGACCCUCGCCUUAUCCAAAAGAGUUACCUUUUCAAGUUUCUCCUCUUCAACUGUUGGGUUUUCAGGUUUCUCCUCUUCAACUACUGGUUUGUCAGUUUUUUCUUCAAAUGCUAGUUCAUUAGGUGUUUCUUCCCGUUUUGAUUCCUUGAGUGUUUCUUCAGUUUUUGGUUUUUCAGGUUUCUCUUCAACCAUUGGUUCUUCAAGUUUCUCCUCCACAGUUGUUUUUUCAUGUUUCUCUUCAACUGCCAGAUCUUCAAGUUCUCUCUCAACUGUUGGUUCUUCAGGCUUCUCCAUAACCGCCAAUACUUCAGGCUUCUCUUCAAUUGUUGUUUCUUCAUGUUCUUUUUCAACUACUGGUUCUUGAGAUUUUUCCUUGACUGAUUCAUAGUCAGCAAUAUCAUUGGUGGUAUUGCAUGACAUUACAUAAUCUAUCUUGUCCUUUGAGUCUACAAUUGGAAAAUGCUGCAAGAAAAUUUAAAAGUUUUACUUAGUCUUUCAACAGAUAAACAUAUGUAAAUCCGUUGCACAUAUAAAGCUAAUAUGAUGGAUAAAUUUUGUGACAAUGUUUAAUUCUGACCUUCUCUAGAAGAGCUCCGGUUUCAGGUUUCUCCACUUCAACAACUAGUUCUUUAGGUGUCUUUUCAACCGUUGCUUCUUCAGGUUUCUCUUCAAGUGCUAGUUCUUCAGCUGUUUCCUCCCCCUCUAACUCUUCAGGUGUUUUUUUAGCUGUUCGUUCUUCAGAUUUCUCUUCAGCCGCAGGUUCUUGAGGUUUCUCUUCAAAUGGUAAUUCAAAUUUCUCCUCAACCGAUGGUUCUUCAAAUUUCUCUUGAAUAACUGGUUCUUCAGGUUUUUCUUCAACUGCUGAUUCUUCAAGAUUUUCUUCAACAUUUAAAGAUUGAGCAACAUCAUUACUGGUAUUGCAUGGAAUUUCACUGCCAUUUUUGCUGUUCAAGUCUACAACUAGCAUAUUCUGCAAAAGAGUUUAAUGUUUCACUUAGUCUUUCAAUAAAGAAGCAGACGUGAAUCAUUUCACAUACAUAACUAAUAAUAUGGAUAGCUAAUAAUAUGGAUUAACUUUUAUGACAGAUUUUCCACAAGAGCUACCUUUUCAGGUUUCUCCUCUUCAAGUGAUGGUUUCUCUUCAAAUGAUAGUUCAUUAGGCGUUUCUUCCUGUGUUGGUUUUUCAUGUGCUUCUUCAGUUACUGGUUUUUCAGGUUUCUCCUUAGUUGUUGGUUCUUCGCUUGUCUCCUCAGCUGAUUGUUCUUCAAGCUUCUCUCCUGUUGUUGAUUUUUCUGGUUUCUCUUCAAUUAUCGGUGGUUCAGGUUUUUUCUCAACCGGUGAUUCUUCUGGUUUCUCCAAAACCAUUGAUUCUUCAUGUUUUUUUUCAACUACUGACUCUUCAGUGUUUUCCUCAACUGAUGCAUAGUCAGCAAUAUCGUUGUUGGUAUUGCUUGGAAUUGCAUUGUCUAUCUUGUCCUUUGAGUUUACUUUUGGCAUAUUCUGCAAUGAAGUUUCACGUAGUCUUUCAAUAGAUAAACAAAUGUAAAUUUGUUGCACAUAUAAAAGCUAAUAUGAUGGAUAAAAUUUGUGCCAGUGUUUAAUCCUCACCUUCUCCUGAAGAGCUUCCGCUUCAAGUUCCUCCUCUUCAAUUGCAGGUUUUUCAUCUUUCUCUCCAACAACUAGUUCUUCAGGUUUCUCUUCAAGUGCCAGUUCUUCAGGUGUUUCCUCCUUUGCCAGCUCUUCAGGUGUUUCCUCCUUUGCCAGCUCUUCAGGUGUUUCUUUAGCUGCCGGUUCUUCAGGUUUCUCUUCAACCUCCGGUUCUUGUGGUAUUUCCUCUACUUGUACUUCAGAUUUCUCCUCAAUUGUUGGUUCUUCAGGUUUCUCUCUAACCGCUGCUGCAUUAGGUUUCUCUUCAUUGGCUGGUUCUUCAGGUUUUUCUUCAACUACCGAUUCUUCAGGAUUUUCCUCAAUGUUUGGAAAGGGAGCGACAUCAUUAUUGGUAUUGCAUGGAAUUUCACUGCCAGUUUUGUCAUUCAAGUCCACAACUAGUAUAUUCUGCAAAAGAGUUUAAUGUUUCACUUAGUCUUUCAAUAAAGAAGCAGAUGCGAAUCAUUACAUAUACAUAACUAAUAACAUGGAUAAACUUUAUGACAGUAGUUGACCCUUACCUUUUCCACAAGAGUUACUUUUGCAGGUUUCUCCUCUUCAAGUGCUGGUUUCUCUUCAAAUGAUAGUUCAUUAGGUGUUUCUUCCCGUGUUGGUUCUUCAUGUGCUUCUUCAGUUACUGGUUUUUCAGGUUUCUCCUCAAUUGUUGGUUCUUCGCUUGUCUUCUCAACUGAUGGUUCCUCAUGCUUCUCUCCCGUUGUUGAUUUUUCGGGUUUCUCUUCAGUUGUCGAUGGUUCAGUUUUUUUCUCAACCGCUGGUUCUUUUGGCUUCUCCAAAACCAUUUCCGAUUUCUCUUCAGUUGGUGGUUCUUCAUGGUUUUUUUCAACUACUGGUUCUUCUCUUUUUUCCUCAACUGAUGCAUAGUCAGCAAUAUCGUUGUUGGUAUUGCUUGGAAUUGCAUUGUCUGUCUUGUCCUUUGAGCUUACAAUUGGCAUAUUCUGCUAGAAAAAUAUAAAGUUUCAUGUAGUCUUUCAACAGAGAAACCAAUGUAAAUUUGUUGCACAUAUAAAGCUAACAAAUAUGAUGGAUAGACUUUGCGAGAGUGUUUAAUACUCACCUUCUCCGGAAGAGCUUCCGUUUCAGGUUCCUCUUCAAUUUCUGCUUUUUCAUCUUUCUCUUCAACAACUAGUUCUUCAGGUGUCUCUUCAACCGUUGAUUCUUCAGGUUUCUCUUCAAGUGUUAGUUCUUGAGGUGUUUCCUCCUUUGCUAGCUCUUCAGGUGUUUCUGUAACUGCCGGUUCUUCAGGUUCCUCUUCAGCCACCGGCUGUUGACGUAUCUCCUCUACUUGUACUUCAGAUUUCUCCUCAAUUGUUGGUUCUUCAGGUUUCUCCUUAACCGCUGGUACAUCAGGUUUAUCCUCAUUGACUGGUUCUUCAACUGCUGAUUCUUCUAGAUUUUCCUCAAUGUCUGGAAAGCGAGCAACAUCAUUAUUGGUAUUGCAUGGAAUUUCAUUUCCAGUUUCGUUAUUCGAG